UACGAAGGGGGCGAGCGUUGUUCGGAUUUACUGGGCGUAAAGGGCGCGCAGGCGGCGCAUUUUGUCAGGCGUGAAAGCCCCGGGCUUAACCUGGGAACUGCGUUUGAAACUGGGGAGCUGGAGUGUGGAAGAGGGGGGUGGAAUUCCAGGUGUAGCAGUGAAAUGCGUAGAGAUCUGGAGGAACACCAAUGGCGAAGGCAGCCCCCUGGGCUAACACUGACGCUCAUGCACGAAAGCGUGGGGAGCAAACAGG
RNAcentral lists this ribosomal RNA (253 nucleotides) under uncultured bacterium. RNAcentral describes it as "partial 16S ribosomal RNA". It matches the Rfam family "Bacterial small subunit ribosomal RNA", at positions 524 to 776 of the family's 1533-position model. The record is from RNAcentral.